GUGCUCGCUUCAGCAGCACAUAUACUAAAAUUGGAAUGAUACAGAGAUUAGCAUGGCCCUGUGCAAGUAUGAAACACAAUUGGUGAAGCGUUCCAUAUUUUC
Molecule: small nuclear RNA, 102 nt
Organism: Sorex fumeus (smoky shrew)
Lineage: Eukaryota; Metazoa; Chordata; Mammalia; Eulipotyphla; Soricidae
Source: RefSeq, a predicted model, not a curated record